Molecule: ribosomal RNA, 443 nt
Filed under: uncultured bacterium
Lineage: Bacteria
Description: partial 16S ribosomal RNA
Rfam family: Bacterial small subunit ribosomal RNA
Source: RNAcentral
CCUACGGGUGGCAGCAGUGGGGAAUAUUGGACAAUGGGGGGAACCCUGAUCCAGCGACGCCGCGUGAGUGAAGAAGUAUUUCGGUAUGUAAAGCUCUAUCAGCAGGGAAGAAAGAAAUGACGGUACCUGACUAAGAAGCCCCGGCUAACUACGUGCCAGCAGCCGCGGUAAUACGUAGGGGGCAAGCGUUAUCCGGAUUUACUGGGUGUAAAGGGAGCGUAGACGGCGAUGCAAGUCUGAAGUGAAAGGCGGGGGCCCAACCCCUGGACUGCUUUGGAAACUGUAUGGCUGGAGUGCGGGAGAGGUAAGUGGAAUUCCUAGUGUAGCGGUGAAAUGCGUAGAUAUUAGGAGGAAUACCAGUGGCGAAGGCGGCUUACUGGACUGUAACUGACGUUGAGGCUCGAAAGCGUGGGGAGCAAACAGGAUUAGAUACCCGGGUAGUC